UUAAAUGAUGUAGCCGGCGUCCCCAAGCCAACCCAAGCCAUUCAGUUACAGUGUGAAUGUCUGAUCGAUAAGAGGAGCUAUUCAGCGGAGAGCUGAAGCAAAAAUAAAAAGAGAUUUGUUCGAUUUCCCAUUUGCCGCCGCCCGCCCGUCGCCUGCUGCCAUCACGUCGUUUCAUGCAUCAAAAAUUUAAGUGCUCUUCUUACACCACGUUGCCACCACCACGCUGCCGCCACAUAUUGUCUGCCUCCGGUGUCGUUGUCGUCAUUUGCCACACCACGUUCCUUCCAGCCACCACGUUGUUCCCGCCAGCCACCUCCAUCAUCACGCUUAAAUAAUUCCUGUGCCAUCACGUUGCCACCACCACGCUGCCGGCACAUCCGCCACAUUAUUGUCUGCCUCCGCUGUCGUCGUCAUUUGCCACACCACGUUCUAUCCAGCCACCACGUUGCUCCCGCCAGCCGCCACCAAUCUUGCU
Long non-coding RNA from Episyrphus balteatus (marmalade hoverfly), 475 nucleotides. RefSeq lists it as uncharacterized. The record is from RefSeq and is a predicted model, not a curated record. The transcript has 4 exons. NCBI's taxonomy places the organism in Eukaryota, Metazoa, Arthropoda, Insecta, Diptera, Syrphidae.